GACGAACGCUGGCGGCGUGCUUAACACAUGCAAGUCGAACGGAAAGGCCCUGCUUUUGUGGGGUUCUCGAGUGGCGAACGGGUGAGUAACACGUGAGUAACCUGCCCUUGACUUUGGUAUAACUUCAGGAAACUGGGGCUAAUACCGGAUAGGAUCUCCUGCUGCAUGGUGGGGGUUGGAUAGUUUCGGCGGUUGGGGAUGGACUCGCGGCUUAUCAGCUUGUUGGUGGGGUAGUGGCUUACCAAGGCUUUGACGGGUAGCCGGCCUGAGAGGGUGAACGGGGACAUUGGGACUGAGAUACGGCGCAGACUCCUACGGGAGGCAGCAGUGGGGAAUAUUGUACAAUGGGCGGAAGCCUGAUGCAGAAACGCCGCGUGCGGGAUGACGGCCUUCGGGUUGUAAACAGCUGUCGCCUGUGACGAAGCGGGAGUGACGGUAAUGGGUAAAGAAGCACCGGCUAACUACGUG
Molecule: ribosomal RNA, 468 nt
Filed under: uncultured bacterium
Lineage: Bacteria
Description: partial 16S ribosomal RNA
Rfam family: Bacterial small subunit ribosomal RNA
Source: RNAcentral